RNAcentral lists this transfer RNA (74 nucleotides) under Ginkgo biloba (maidenhair tree). RNAcentral's name for it is "tRNA-Ile". It matches the Rfam family "tRNA". Rfam says of the family: Transfer RNA (tRNA) molecules are approximately 80 nucleotides in length. Their secondary structure includes four short double-helical elements and three loops (D, anti-codon, and T loops). Lineage: Eukaryota; Viridiplantae; Streptophyta; Ginkgoopsida; Ginkgoales; Ginkgoaceae. The record is from RNAcentral.
AGCAUCCAUGGCUGAAUGGUUAAAGCGCCCAACUCAUAAUUGGCGAAUUCGCGGGUUCAAUUCCUGCUGGAUGC